GAGUUUGAUCCUGGCUCAGGAUGAACGCUGGCGGCGUGCUUAACACAUGCAAGUCGAACGAAGCACUUUUGCUGAGACCUUCGGGUGGAUUUAAAAGUGACUUAGUGGCGGACGGGUGAGUAACGCGUGGGUAACCUGCCUCACACAGGGGGAUAACAGUUAGAAAUGACUGCUAAUACCGCAUAAGCGCACGGUCUCGCAUGGGACAGUGUGAAAAACUCCGGUGGUGUGAGAUGGACCCGCGUCUGAUUAGCUAGUUGGUGGGGUAACGGCCUACCAAGGCGACGAUCAGUAGCCGACCUGAGAGGGUGACCGGCCACAUUGGGACUGAGACACGGCCCAAACUCCUACGGGAGGCAGCAGUGGGGAAUAUUGCACAAUGGGGGAAACCCUGAUGCAGCAACGCCGCGUGAGCGAUGAAGGCCUUCGGGUCGUAAAGCUCUGUCCUCAAGGAAGAUAAUGACGGUACUUGAGGAGGAAGCCCCGGCUAACUACGUGCCAGCCGCCGCGGUAAUAC
RNAcentral lists this ribosomal RNA (517 nucleotides) under uncultured bacterium. RNAcentral describes it as "bacterial SSU rRNA". It matches the Rfam family "Bacterial small subunit ribosomal RNA", at positions 9 to 526 of the family's 1533-position model. The record is from RNAcentral.